RNAcentral lists this ribosomal RNA (496 nucleotides) under uncultured bacterium. RNAcentral's name for it is "partial 16S ribosomal RNA". It matches the Rfam family "Bacterial small subunit ribosomal RNA", at positions 28 to 506 of the family's 1533-position model. The record is from RNAcentral.
GAUGAACGCUGGCGGCGUGCCUAAUACAUGCAAGUCGAGCGAACGGACGAGAAGCUUGCUUCUCUGAUGUUAGCGGCGGACGGGUGAGUAACACGUGGAUAACCUACCUAUAAGACUGGGAUAACUUCGGGAAACCGGAGCUAAUACCGGAUAAUAUUUUGAACCGCAUGGUUCAAAAGUGAAAGACGGUCUUGCUGUCACUUAUAGAUGGAUCCGCGCUGCAUUAGCUAGUUGGUAAGGUAACGGCUUACCAAGGCAACGGUGCAUAGCCGACCUGAGAGGGGGUUCGGCCACCGUGGAACUGAGACCCGGUCCAGACCCCGAGGGGAGGCACAGAUGGGUAAGCUUCCCAGAUGGGCGAAAGCCUGCCGGAGCAACGCCGGGGGGGUGAAGAAGGUUUUCGGAUGGUAAAACUUUUUUAUUGGGGAAGAACAUAUUUGUAAGUAACGGUGCAAGUCUUGCGGUAACCUAUUAAGAAAGCCCCGGCAAAUUAGGU